This 869-nucleotide ribosomal RNA is filed under the name uncultured archaeon. RNAcentral describes it as "bacterial SSU rRNA". It matches the Rfam family "Archaeal small subunit ribosomal RNA", at positions 1 to 878 of the family's 1478-position model. The record is from RNAcentral.
CUCCGGUUGAUCCCGCCGGACCUGACUGCUAUCGGAUUGGUACUAAGCCAUGCGAGUCAUUGUAGCAAUACAAGGCGGACGGCUCAGUAACACGUAGUCAACCUAACUCGUGGACGUGGAUAACCUCGGGAAACUGAGAAUAAACCACGAUAGACCAUAGUGCCUGGAAUGGCUUAUGGUCCAAACAGUUUACUGCCAUGGGAUGGGACUGCGGCCUAUCAGCUUGUUGGUGAGGUAAUGGCCCACCAAACCUAUUACCGGUACGGGCUCUGAGAGGAGGAGCCCGGAGAUGGGCACUGAGACAAGGGCCCAGGCCCUAUGGGGCGCAGCAGGCGCGAAACCUCUGCAAUAGGCGAAAGCUUGACAGGGUUACUCUGAGUGAUUUCCGCUAAGGGAAUCUUUUGGCACCUCUAAAAAUGGUGCAGAAUAAGGGGUGGGCAAGUCUGGUGUCAGCCGCCGCGGUAAUACCAGCACCCCGAGUGGUCGGGACGAUUAUUGGGCCUAAAGCAUCCGUAGCCGGUCCUGCAAGUCUUCCGUUAAAUCCAGCUGCUCAACAGAUGGGCUGCGGGAGAUACUACAGGGCUAGGAGGCGGGAGAGGCAAGCGGUACUUUAUGGGUAGGGGUAAAAUCCGCUGAUCCAUAGAAGACCACCAGUGGCGAAGGCGGCUUGCCAGAACGCGCUCGACGGCGAGGGAUGAAAGCUGGGGGAGCAAACCGGAUUAGAUACCCGGGUAGUCCCAGCUGUAAACGAUGCAGACUCGGUGAUGGGUUGGCCUCGCGCCUGCCCAGUGCCGCAGGGAAGCCGUUAAGUCUGCCGCCUGGGGAGUACGGUCGCAAGACUGAAACUUAAAGGAAAUUGGCGGGGAGCA